This 253-nucleotide ribosomal RNA is filed under the name uncultured bacterium. RNAcentral describes it as "partial 16S ribosomal RNA". It matches the Rfam family "Bacterial small subunit ribosomal RNA", at positions 524 to 776 of the family's 1533-position model. The record is from RNAcentral.
UACGAAGGGGGCGAGCGUUGUUCGGAUUUACUGGGCGUAAAGGGCGCGCAGGCGGUUUUGUAAGCCAGAUGUGAAAUCCCCGGGCUUAACCUGGGAACUGCAUUUGUGACUGCAUCGCUGGAGUGCGGCAGAGGGGGAUGGAAUUCCGCGUGUAGCAGUGAAAUGCGUAGAUAUGCGGAGGAACACCGAUGGCGAAGGCAAUCCCCUGGGCCUGCACUGACGCUCAUGCACGAAAGCGUGGGGAGCAAACAGG